Molecule: ribosomal RNA, 134 nt
Organism: Erinaceus europaeus (western European hedgehog)
Lineage: Eukaryota; Metazoa; Chordata; Mammalia; Eulipotyphla; Erinaceidae
Source: Ensembl
GUCUACGGCCAUAACAUCCUGAACAGGCCCAAUCUUGUCUGAUCUCGGAAGCUAACCAGGGUUGCACCUGGUUAGUACUUGGAUGGGAAAAAGAGGUUUCUCAGGGCCCAUGGGAAAGGCAGGGGCUGGGGAGA